GACGAACGCUGGCGGCGUGCCUAAUACAUGCAAGUCGAACGCUUCUUUCCUCCCGAGUGCUUGCACUCAAUUGGAAAGAGGAGUGGCGGACGGGUGAGUAACACGUGGGUAACCUACCCAUCAGAGGGGGAUAACACUUGGAAACAGGUGCUAAUACCGCAUAACAGUUUAUGCCGCAUGGCAUAAGAGUGAAAGGCGCUUUCGGGUGUCGCUGAUGGAUGGACCCGCGGUGCAUUAGCUAGUUGGUGAGGUGACGGCUCACCAAGGCCACGAUGCAUAGCCGACCUGAGAGGGUGAUCGGCCACACUGGGACUGAGACACGGCCCAGACUCCUACGGGAGGCAGCAGCAGGGAGUCUUCGGCAAUGGACGAAAGUCUGACCGAGCAACGCCGCGUGAGUGAAGAAGGUGUUCGGAUCGUAAAACUCUGUUGUUAGAGAAGAACAAGGACGUUAGUAACUGAACGUCCCCUGACGGUAUCUAACCAGAAAGCCACGGCUAACUACGUG
Molecule: ribosomal RNA, 508 nt
Filed under: uncultured bacterium
Lineage: Bacteria
Description: partial 16S ribosomal RNA
Rfam family: Bacterial small subunit ribosomal RNA
Source: RNAcentral